UUCUCGCCCUCUUCCCUCAACUCUAUCUCACUCGAUCGUCUCUCUCUCACUGUUUUCCUCGCGAGCUCCGCCGUGAGCUGCUCCGGCGACCACAGGACAGCCAUGGCCGCCGCCCUUCUCUCCAUCUCACUCUCCAUCGUUGGCCGGACAGCAGCAGCAAAGCCGCCGUUGCCGGCGCCUCCCUCUGCUCACUCCUCUUCUCCCUUCCUCCCUCGGCCAUCUCCCUUUCUCUCGGACUCACGGUCACUGGGGCUACCUCCUCCGUCGUCCGUCUGGCUGGAAUCGCGGUGGAGGCCGAGCCUUGCCUCGCCGGAAAGGAACAGCCCGUUGCUCCCGCCGCCGUGUCGCCGCUGCCGAUGCCGCCGCGUCGUCGUCACCGGAGAAGAUAAGUCCUCCCCUCCCUCUCUUCUUCCUUUCCCCUUUUUUUUCUUUAACCUAAUCUCUCUCUCUCUCGGUUGUUUCAGACAGAAAAAGGAAAAAGGCGGUGGCUUGCCGCCGCGCCGCCUUCGGCCGUGAGCAGCCGCCGCCUGCUCUCACCCCCAUUACUCCGUUCCCGGACACACAUACAAGACAGAGUACAAGAACCCCCAAAUUCAGUCCAGAUUCACAAGUAUAGCAAAGCUAGGGUUUUGUUUAGAAAUCUGUUCUUUCAUCAUUCAUUUAUCAUUUUCUUAGCAAAAAUCAAACCUUGUAAAUGUAAUAGUUUAGAAAAUAUAUUAACAUGUGUGCGUGCGUAUUCUUCUGUUC
Long non-coding RNA from Salvia miltiorrhiza (redroot sage), 747 nucleotides. RefSeq lists it as uncharacterized. NCBI's taxonomy places the organism in Eukaryota, Viridiplantae, Streptophyta, Magnoliopsida, Lamiales, Lamiaceae. The transcript has 2 exons. The record is from RefSeq and is a predicted model, not a curated record.